GUCUCCCCCUGCACCUCCCGAGCAAAGUGAAGGACGUGGCCCUGUGAGGUGAUGGGGAGCCCUGGAAGACUUCAGAGCAGGGGAGGGACAAGGAGCAAGGUGGCCGUGGGAAGAUGGCUCCAGCAGCAUGCAGAAGAUGGACAGGAGUGGAUAGGGACAAAGGUGGAAAAGGAGAGAAUAAGCAUCUGCCAUUUGUUCACUGCAGAGGGUUUGCUGUGAUCAGAUCAACCCAGGAAGUCCUUCCUGCCUUCUUCCAGCCUACAAUGACAUCCGCCUCCUCUGAGCUCACAAUCUCUUGCAACCCAUCGGAAGCACCAUGUUAGCACUUGAUUGUUCCCCUGUCUUAUCUUCAAUUCUCUCAUGAAGAUUAGUCUUGGCUCUCGGACGAGCUCAUAAAAAGCCUCCUUGGUUAGAUUCACCUGAACUGGGGAGGCGGAGGUUGCAGUAAACUGAGAUCAUGCCAUGGCACUCCAGCCUGGGUGACAAGAUUGAAA
Molecule: long non-coding RNA, 494 nt
Filed under: Homo sapiens (human)
Lineage: Eukaryota; Metazoa; Chordata; Mammalia; Primates; Hominidae
Description: HSALNT0002992
Source: RNAcentral